UGCUGAAGUUUCCAGAGGCUUUGUAUUUUUCUAAAGUCCUUGCUGUAGUCUUCUCUCUUGAUUUUGGGUUCUUUAAAUACUCCUCUUCAGAGAGAGUCUGUAUCUUGCAGCCAUCUCAGCUAUCACUGACUAUAUUUUACUACAGUUCUAUUGGGCCAGUGGUAAGAUGUGAGGUGAGAGACAGAUCACAGGAAGUCUGUAUGAGAGCAAUGCCCUUCAACAAGGGCCAUGAGAAGCUCUUUCUCAAAUCUUCAAGGUGAGGAUGGCCUAUGGCUCCUGGAGGUAUAAGCCACAACAGUGAGGAAUUUAACAAUUCAUCAACAUUACUAUUUAAUAAGUGUCCUAUUAGUUUAUGGCUCUAGUGGUUCUUCUCCAAAUAAGCAGAAUUCAGGUGAGUCAGAGAGGCAAGAGAGAAGCUACUCCGGUUGACUGAAAAACUAGUGUGCCUCAAAAGAGGAAGUGUGCCCACUUUUCUGUUUGGUACAGAGCUCAGAUCCUUUGUGGGGAAAUCAUGCAAAAAGAAUAUCAUCUCAGAACCUUAUAGAAAGAAUAUAUAUAAACAUAAUUUAUCAGAAAAAAGAGGAAAUAUAAGUAGUAACAUUCAUCACCAUCAGUGGGAUUAAAGAAGACAUAAUAUCCUGAAAGACAAAAAAAAUUCCAUCAAGAGAAAGUAAGAUGGCAGCUGGUGUAUAUUUGGAUAGAAAAAAUUGUCCCUUCUGAAGAAACUUUCAUGCAUGGCAGUUAAAAUUGUUCCUAGCAAAAGAAUGUGAAAGAAGUCUCUGGCAAGUGGACUUUUCUCUCAGAUCUUAGAAAUAAACUGAUUGA
Long non-coding RNA from Lutra lutra (Eurasian river otter), 825 nucleotides. RefSeq lists it as uncharacterized. The record is from RefSeq and is a predicted model, not a curated record. The transcript is spliced from 4 exons. Lineage: Eukaryota; Metazoa; Chordata; Mammalia; Carnivora; Mustelidae.